This 274-nucleotide ribosomal RNA is filed under the name uncultured bacterium. Its description in RNAcentral is "partial 16S ribosomal RNA". It matches the Rfam family "Bacterial small subunit ribosomal RNA", at positions 523 to 796 of the family's 1533-position model. The record is from RNAcentral.
CUACGGAGGGUGCAAGCGUUAAUCGGAAUUACUGGGCGUAAAGCGCGCGUAGGUGGUUAUGUCAGUCGGGUGUGAAAGCCCCGGGCUCAACCUGGGAACUGCAUCCGAUACUGCAUGGCUAGAGUCUGGUAGAGGGAAGUGGAAUUCCACAUGUAGCGGUGAAAUGCGUAGAUAUGUGGAGGAACACCAAUGGCGAAGGCAGCUUCCUGGACCAAGACUGACACUGAGGUGCGAAAGCGUGGGGAGCAAACAGGAUUAGAAACCCCGGUAGUCC